This is a long non-coding RNA of Brassica oleracea var. oleracea, 1895 nucleotides long. RefSeq lists it as uncharacterized. Lineage: Eukaryota; Viridiplantae; Streptophyta; Magnoliopsida; Brassicales; Brassicaceae. The record is from RefSeq and is a predicted model, not a curated record. The transcript is spliced from 7 exons.
GAUAUUCUCAAUGGGGAGACCUGCCACAUCAGAUUAAAAAAUCAUCCAAUCAGAGCAUUCCUUACUGCCACGUCAUAAUCUCAGCGUAAAGAGAACCGUCGUCUCUGAUUCUUCCUCUCCCUCUGCGUCUUCCGACUCUCAACGUUUCUCCGUUACUGCAUGUUUCUCCACACUUAAUCAUUCAUUCAUGUUUUUUAAUUAUCUCUUAUUGAGCUAACCUUCCAACUCCCUCUCUUUCUACUCCUAUAUAAAUCACUUCCUUAAAGGUUUAAUCGAAUCGUUCUCUACAGCAUCCAUUCGAUGAAAAUAACCGAUGGCCGAAAUUGAUUCAACAUCCGACAAGUCUCCUAUUGCAUUUUAUUUCGUCGACAUAUCACCAGGGCCAUCGGACUCGGGAUUACGCUUUAGUUUGAUCCAUUUCUGGGAGGCCAAAAACACUGCCAGUGGUAGGAGCUGCUAAUCCUCAACGAACAGGGCACUGUGAUGCAAGGUUUCAUUUCAUCAAAUCUUAGAGGCAAUAUAAAUCUCAAAAUUAAACAACUGACCUUUCGUAUGUUUAAUUAUUUCUUUUGAUAUCAGGAACUGGUAUUGUAAUUAUAGGAUUUUCAAAAUGUUCUUGACUGAGAUAUAUCUGUUUUGUUAUACACUGGAGAUUGUUGACCAAAACGAACCCAAGCUUUAUCUGCAGUGGCAUACGUUGUUUAAGGUAAGAAAACUUCAGAUCUCUCUGAUCUUUUGCAGUUUCUGAAUUUCGUUCCCCUUUUAUCUUGGUUUGAAUCCCCAAAUUCAUGUAUCUCAAGUUUCAGUCCUCUUACGGAGAUAAUCUAAUCAUGAUAGAAAGUCUCUUAACAUUUAUUAGCAGCACACAUAUGUAGAGUCAUACAUAUCUAAGCUGUGAUAUUCAGGCCACAGUUGAAUGAUUGAGAAAUUUAAAUGUAGAAUAGGUUGUAUGAAUAGGUUUAUUUUGGUUUAGUAAACGGUAACAAUAUUUCGAAAACUUAGUAUAAGUGAGAUCAUCUGCAACGGCUUAUCAAUCAGUGUUGAUCUGUCUCAAAGAGACAAUUGGAUGUGAGUGUGUGAUAGUAGAAGCAUGGCUAAAGAGGAGCACGGCAAAAAUGGGGACUAAGGCCGACGAAAGGUUUCUCUUUCUCAAACAUCAAUAUCAUACAAGUCUUAUUUAUAACUUUGGUCUCAGAAAGAUUAUGCUUCCCUUUAUUUGGUUAUGUUUUCAAAGUUGUCAUAAGCUGCACUAACAUGAGAGUAAAUCAUUGGUGAGAUGGAAAAAAACUUACAGGCAAUGCCUUGGGGGGUUAACAAGAACUGGUAUGGUGGUCUAUUUUGUGGUGCUGGUAGUGGCUGUGGCGGCAGUGGGGUGAUAGACGUGGUGGGAGCGUCAGCAAUGAUAUGAUCUUUGUCAAGCUGAUGACUUUCAGACUGAUUAUUUUGCAAGAAGUUGAUGGUUAUAUAUGUCGCUAUAAUAAAAACUCCCAUGCCAUUCUUCACUUAAGUCGGGAUAGAGGAUGCAGACAAGUAUGUUGUUGUUGCUUUCCAUAACAACCUGAACUCCAAGUAUUUGCUCGAGAGUCAGAACCAUCACCAACCAAUAUAAACAUCAGGUUUUUUGUUCAGGACUAGCGGAUGGUAUCUUUUCACAUGACUAUAGGCCAGCGCCGGUUCCAAAAAAUAUACAUACUACAUUUACAAUAGAACGGAUGGGGAAGCAGCAAUAAACAUGUUGGAUGGUUGUCAACAACAAGAGCAAUAAACUACACCUAAAUUCUGAAGACAAUAGAUCGUUGUAACAGAGUGAUUGAUUACCUACGUAAAAUUAACAAUGACAUCACAUUCCAUUUGAGAGGGGCAUCAACUUUGGUAAAUAACAACACGAUUGGUAA